GACGAACGCUGGCGGCGUGCUUAACACAUGCAAGUCGAACGGAAAGGCCCUGCUUUUGUGGGGUGCUCGAGUGGCGAACGGGUGAGUAACACGUGAGUAACCUGCCCUUGACUUUGGGAUAACUUCAGGAAACUGGGGCUCAUACCGGAUAGGAGCUCCUGCUGCAUGGUGGGGGUUGGAAAGUUUCGGCGGUUGGGGAUGGACUCGCGGCUUAUCAGCUUGUUGGUGGGGUAGUGGCUUACCAAGGCUUUGACGGGUAGCCGGCCUGAGAGGGUGACCGGCCACAUUGGGACUGAGAUACGGCCCAGACUCCUACGGGAGGCAGCAGUGGGGAAUAUUGCACAAUGGGCGGAAGCCUGAUGCAGCAACGCCGCGUGCGGGAUGACGGCCGUCGGGUUGUAAACCGCUUUCGCCUGUGACGAAGCGUGAGUGACGGUAAUGGGUAAAGAAGCACCGGCUAACUACGUG
Molecule: ribosomal RNA, 468 nt
Filed under: uncultured bacterium
Lineage: Bacteria
Description: partial 16S ribosomal RNA
Rfam family: Bacterial small subunit ribosomal RNA
Source: RNAcentral